CAGUAGCCGCGGGAAUACGAAGGGUGCAAGCGUUAAUCGGAAUUACUGGGCGUAAAGCGUGCGCAGGCGGUUUGUUAAGACAGAUGUGAAAUCCCCGGGCUCAACCUGGGAAUUGCAUUUGUGACUGGCAAGCUAGAGUGUGGCAGAGGGGGGUGGAAUUCCGCGUGUAGCAGUGAAAUGCGUAGAUAUGCGGAGGAACACCGAUGGCGAAGGCAGCCCCCUGGGCCAACACUGACGCUCAUGCACGAAAGCGUGGGAAGCAAACAGGAUUAGAUACCCGGGUAGUCCCUGUCUCUUAUAC
Molecule: ribosomal RNA, 301 nt
Filed under: uncultured bacterium
Lineage: Bacteria
Description: partial 16S ribosomal RNA
Rfam family: Bacterial small subunit ribosomal RNA
Source: RNAcentral